RNAcentral lists this ribosomal RNA (1343 nucleotides) under uncultured bacterium. Its description in RNAcentral is "16S ribosomal RNA". It matches the Rfam family "Bacterial small subunit ribosomal RNA", at positions 28 to 1378 of the family's 1533-position model. The record is from RNAcentral.
GACGAACGCUGGCGGCGUGCUUAACACAUGCAAUUCGAACGGAAAGGCCCUGCUUUUGUGGGGUGCUCGAGUGGCGAACGGGUGAGUAACACGUGAGUAACCUGCCCUUGACUUUGGGAUAACUUCAGGAAACUGGGGCUAAUACCGGAUAGGAGCUCCUGCUGCAUGGUGGGGGUUGGAAAGUUUCGGCGGUUGGGGAUGGACUCGCGGCUUAUCAGCUUGUUGGUGGGGUAGUGGCUUACCAAGGCUUUGACGGGUAGCCGGCCUGAGAGGGUGACCGGCCACAUUGGGACUGAGAUACGGCCCAGACUCCUACGGGAGGCAGCAGUGGGGAAUAUUGCACAAUGGGCGGAAGCCUGAUGCAGCAACGCCGCGUGCGGGAUGACGGCCUUCGGGUUGUAAACCGCUUUCGCCUGUGACGAAGCGUGAGUGACGGUAAUGGGUAAAGAAGCACCGGCUAACUACGUGCCAGCAGCCGCGGUGAUACGUAGGGUGCGAGCGUUGUCCGGAUUUAUUGGGCGUAAAGGGCUCGUAGGUGGUUGAUCGCGUCGGAAGUGUAAUCUUGGGGCUUAACCCUGAGCGUGCUUUCGAUACGGGUUGACUUGAGGAAGGUAGGGGAGAAUGGAAUUCCUGGUGGAGCGGUGGAAUGCGCAGAUAUCAGGAGGAACACCAGUGGCGAAGGCGGUUCUCUGGGCCUUUCCUGACGCUGAGGAGCGAAAGCGUGGGGAGCGAACAGGCUUAGAUACCCUGGUAGUCCACGCUGUAAACGGUGGGUACUAGGUGUGGGGUCCAUUCCACGGGUUCCGUGCCGUAGCUAACGCUUUAAGUACCCCGCCUGGGGAGUACGGCCGCAAGGCUAAAACUCAAAGGAAUUGACGGGGCCCCGCACAAGCGGCGGAGCAUGCGGAUUAAUUCGAUGCAACGCGUAGAACCUUACCUGGGUUUGACAUGGAUCGGGAGUGCUCAGAGAUGGGUGUGCCUCUUUUGGGGUCGGUUCACAGGUGGUGCAUGCCUGUCGUCAGCUCGUGUCGUGAGAUGUUGGGUUAAGUCCCGCAACGAGCGCAACCCUUGUUCACUGUUGCCAGCACGUUAUGGUGGGGACUCAGUGGAGACCGCCGGGGUCAACUCGGAGGAGGGUGGGGAUGACGUCAAGUCCUCAUGCCCCUUAUGUCCAGGGCUUCACGCAUGCUACAAUGGCUGGUACAGAGAGUGGCGAGCCUGUGAGGGUGAACGAAUCUCGGAAAGCCGGUCUCAGUUCGGAUUGGGGUCUGCAACUCGACCUCAUGAAGUCGGAGUCGCUAGUAAUCGCAGAUCAGCAACGCUGCGGUGAAUACGUUCCCGGG